GAUGAACGCUGGCGGCGUGCCUAAUACAUGCAAGUCGAGCGAACAGAUGAGGAGCUUGCUCCUCUGACGUUAGCGGCGGACGGGUGAGUAACACGUGGAUAACCUACCUAUAAGACUGGGAUAACUUCGGGAAACCGGAGCUAAUACCGGAUAAUAUAUUGAACCGCAUGGUUCAAUAGUGAAAGACGGCUUUUCUGUCACUUAUAGAUGGAUCCGCGCCGCAUUAGCUAGUUGGUAAGGUAACGGCUUACCAAGGCAACGAUGCGUAGCCGAACUGAGAGGGGGAUAGGCGACACGGGAACUGAGACGCGGUCCAUACGCCUACGGGAGGCAGCAGUAGGGAACCGUCGGCAAUGGGCGAAAGCAUGACGGAGCAACGCCGCGUGAGUGAUGAAGGUCUUCGGAUCGUAAAACUCUGUUAUUAGGGAAGAACAAAUGUGUAAGUAAAUAUGCACGUCUUGACGGUACCUAAUCAGAAAGCCACGGCUAACUACGUG
This 497-nucleotide ribosomal RNA is filed under the name uncultured bacterium. RNAcentral describes it as "partial 16S ribosomal RNA". It matches the Rfam family "Bacterial small subunit ribosomal RNA", at positions 28 to 507 of the family's 1533-position model. The record is from RNAcentral.